RNAcentral lists this ribosomal RNA (690 nucleotides) under Saprolegnia sp. UNCW386. RNAcentral's name for it is "eukaryotic LSU rRNA". It matches the Rfam family "Eukaryotic large subunit ribosomal RNA", at positions 52 to 644 of the family's 3401-position model. Lineage: Eukaryota; Oomycota; Saprolegniomycetes; Saprolegniales; Saprolegniaceae. The record is from RNAcentral.
GGAGGAAAAGAAACUAACAAGGAUUCCCCCAGUAACGGCGAGUGAAGCGGGAAGAGCUCAAGCUUAAAAUCUCCAUACUUGUAUGGCGAAUUGUAGUCUAUUGAGGCUGUUGUCAGCAUCGCGAUCGGGGACAAGUCCCUUGGAAAAGGGCAGCAUGGAGGGUGAUACUCCCGUCUCUGCUCCGAUUUGCGGUGUGUACGAUACGCUUUCUUUGAGUCGAGUUGUUUGGGAAUACAGCUCAAAGUAGGUGGUAAAUUCCAUCUAAAGCUAAAUAUUGGUGCGAGACCGAUAGCGAACAAGUACCGUGAGGGAAAGAUGAAAAGAACUUUGAAAAGAGAGUUAAAGAGUACCUGAAACUGUUGAAAGGGAACCGUAUCGUUUCCAGUGUUUUAUCCUGUGCAUAUUUCAUUCGCGGAGCAAUUUGCGGGUGCCCUGUGCAUGGGUGUGACGUCAGAGUCAGUUUGUAUGCUGCGGGAGAUGGUCAGUGAGGAGGUGCGUCACUUCGGUGAAAGUUAUAUCUCGCUGUCUAGUAGCCGUGGUUGAGACUGAGGUGCCUACAACAUGCCUUGGGGUUUCGUGUUGUCUCGUGUUAAUAACUGCUUUGAUAGCUUGCUAUGUCUGUGGUUUAUUGAUGCGAUUGAUGAUGCGGAUAACCUCUGCUGUUCGGGACUCUGGCGAAAUGGAGCGAUA